Molecule: small nuclear RNA, 24 nt
Filed under: Arabidopsis thaliana (thale cress)
Lineage: Eukaryota; Viridiplantae; Streptophyta; Magnoliopsida; Brassicales; Brassicaceae
Description: snRNA_05051
Source: RNAcentral
ACCAUUCAACAUAUAUUUUGAAGC